RNAcentral lists this transfer RNA (71 nucleotides) under Sandaracinaceae bacterium. Its description in RNAcentral is "tRNA-Gln". It matches the Rfam family "tRNA". From Rfam's summary of the family: Transfer RNA (tRNA) molecules are approximately 80 nucleotides in length. Their secondary structure includes four short double-helical elements and three loops (D, anti-codon, and T loops). Lineage: Bacteria; Pseudomonadati; Myxococcota; Polyangiales; Sandaracinaceae. The record is from RNAcentral.
UCGGGCGUCGUCCAAAGGCAGGACAGCGGACUUUGGAUCCGCGAAUGUUGGUUCGAUUCCAGCCGCCCGAA